RNAcentral lists this ribosomal RNA (810 nucleotides) under Lactarius rufus. RNAcentral's name for it is "eukaryotic LSU rRNA". The stretch from base 276 to 429 matches the Rfam family "5.8S ribosomal RNA". The record is from RNAcentral. Lineage: Eukaryota; Fungi; Basidiomycota; Agaricomycetes; Russulales; Russulaceae.
AGAGGAAGUAAAAGUCGUAACAAGGUUUCCGUAGGUGAACCUGCGGAAGGAUCAUUAUCGUACAAAAUGUGAGAGGGGCAUGCGAGGGCUGUCGCUGACUCAAAGUCGUGCACGCCCGAGUGUGUCGCCUCACAUAAUAAUCCAUCUCACCCUUUGUGCAUCACCGCGUGGGCACCCCUUUGGGAUCAUCUCGGAGGGGGCUCGCGUUUUCACACAAAACCCCCCUUUUAAAAGUGUAGAAUGACCUCAUUUAUGCGCUAACCCGCAAUCAAUACAACUUUCAACAACGGAUCUCUUGGCUCUCGCAUCGAUGAAGAACGCAGCGAAAUGCGAUACGUAAUGUGAAUUGCAGAAUUCAGUGAAUCAUCGAAUCUUUGAACGCACCUUGCGCCCCCUGGUAUUCCGAGGGGCACACCCGUUUGAGUGUCGUGAAAACCUCAACCUCCUUGGUUUCUUCUGGAGACCAAAGCAGGCUUGGACUUUGGAGGCCUUUGCUGGCACCUCUCGCCAGCUCCUCUUAAAUGAAUUAGCAGGGUCCUCUUUGCUGAUCCUCGACGUGUGAUAAGAUGUUUCCAUGUCUUGGUUUCUGGCUCUGUCACCUUUGGGACCCGCUUCUAACCGUCUUCAACCUUGCGUUGAGACAACGUUCGAGCAUGUCUCCCUUCUCGGGAAGCUCCCUCGACCCCACGAACCCUUGACCUCAAAUCGGGUGAGACUACCCGCUGAACUUAAGCAUAUCAAUAAGCGGAGGAAAAGAAACUAACAAGGAUUCCCCUAGUAACUGCGAGUGAAGCGGGAAAAGCUCAAAUU